UACAGAGGUGGCAAGCGUUGUUCGGAAUUACUGGGCGUAAAGGGCGCGUAGGCGGUCUUGUAAGUCUUGUGUGAAAUCCCUCGGCUUAACUGAGGAACUGCACGGGAUACUGCAUGACUUGAGAUCGGGAGAGGGAAGCGGAAUUCCGGGUGUAGCGGUGAAAUGCGUAGAUAUCGGAAGGAACAUCAGUGGCGAAGGCGACUUCCUGGACCAAUACUGACGCUCAGGUGCGAAAGCGUGGGGAGCAAACAGG
Molecule: ribosomal RNA, 253 nt
Filed under: uncultured bacterium
Lineage: Bacteria
Description: partial 16S ribosomal RNA
Rfam family: Bacterial small subunit ribosomal RNA
Source: RNAcentral